RNAcentral lists this ribosomal RNA (492 nucleotides) under uncultured bacterium. Its description in RNAcentral is "partial 16S ribosomal RNA". It matches the Rfam family "Bacterial small subunit ribosomal RNA", at positions 29 to 507 of the family's 1533-position model. The record is from RNAcentral.
AGUGAACGCUGGCGAUAGGCCUAACACAUGCAAGUCGAACGGCAGCACAGUAAGAGCUUGCUCUUACGGGUGGCGAGUGGCGGACGGGUGAGGAAUACAUCGGAAUCUACUUUUUCGUGGGGGAUAACGUAGGGAAACUUACGCUAAUACCGCAUACGACCUACGGGUGAAAGCAGGGGAUCUUCGGACCUUGCGCGAUUGAAUGAGCCGAUGUCGGAUUAGCUAGUUGGCGGGGUAAAGGCCCACCAAGGCGACGAUCCGUAGCUGGUCUGAGAGGAUGAUCAGCCACACUGGGACUGAGACACGGUCCAGACUCCUACGGGAGGCAGCAGUGGGGAAUAUUGGACAAUGGGCGCAAGCCUGAUCCAGCCAUACCGCGUGGGUGAAGAAGGCCUUCGGGUUGUAAAGCCCUUUUGUUGGGAAAGAAAAGCAGCAGGUUAAUACCCCGCUGUUCUGACGGUACCCAAAGAAUAAGCACCGGCUAACUUCGUA